GCCUGGGUGGCUCAGUCAGUUGAAUGUCUGACUUUGGCUCAGGUCAUGAUCUCAAGGUUUGUGGGUUCAAGCCCCACUUUGGGCU
Molecule: transfer RNA, 85 nt
Organism: Felis catus (domestic cat)
Lineage: Eukaryota; Metazoa; Chordata; Mammalia; Carnivora; Felidae
Rfam family: tRNA
About the family: Transfer RNA (tRNA) molecules are approximately 80 nucleotides in length.
Source: Rfam